Molecule: ribosomal RNA, 253 nt
Filed under: uncultured bacterium
Lineage: Bacteria
Description: partial 16S ribosomal RNA
Rfam family: Bacterial small subunit ribosomal RNA
Source: RNAcentral
UGCAGAGGUCCCAAGCGUUGUUCGGAUUCACUGGGCGUAAAGGGUGCGUAGGCGGCCGGGUAAGUCUGAUGUGAAAUCUCACAGCUUAACUGUGAAACUGCAUUGGAUACUAUCCGGCUCGAGGAAUGGAGGGGAGACUGGAAUACUUGGUGUAGCAGUGAAAUGCGUAGAUAUCAAGUGGAACACCAGUGGCGAAGGCGAGUCUCUGGACAUUUCCUGACGCUGAGGCACGAAAGCCAGGGGAGCAAACGGG